Molecule: small nuclear RNA, 118 nt
Organism: Heterocephalus glaber (naked mole-rat)
Lineage: Eukaryota; Metazoa; Chordata; Mammalia; Rodentia; Bathyergidae
Gene: U2
Rfam family: U2 spliceosomal RNA
About the family: U2 is a small nuclear RNA (snRNA) component of the spliceosome (involved in pre-mRNA splicing).
Source: Ensembl
ACUACUUCCUGGUCUUUUGGCUAAGAUCAAGUGUAGUAUCUGUUCUUAUCAGUUUAAUAUUGUCAAGAUGUCAUUUCUUUGAAACUUGAUACAUAGAUUCAAUAUAAUCACAACCAAA